Molecule: long non-coding RNA, 5489 nt
Organism: Rosa chinensis
Lineage: Eukaryota; Viridiplantae; Streptophyta; Magnoliopsida; Rosales; Rosaceae
Exons: 3
Source: RefSeq, a predicted model, not a curated record
AGGUUUAAUCUGAAAGGCCAUUGGCUCUGGUUUCGGUGCUCCAAUGACAUUCUCUCUUAUAGUACAAAUAAAUAGUCUCAAAUUUGUUAUCUUGUUGAUGUUUGUGAUAUUUGUGUAGGCGUGCAGGGUGGGGUGAAGCUGUUUAUGAUUUGAUGUAGCUAAUUUUUGCAGACUAACUAUUGCUUUGUUUUGCUUUCAAAGAGCUCUGGUCUUUGGAGUUCGGCCAAACAGAAUACAAAACUAAAACUCAGUCCUUUACUUUUCUGAGAGACACAAAAGCUUGAGCCUUCUUCUAGCUUCUUCCAAUAUCCUAUCCAAACUAUUGGGUUGUCACUCUCUUGCAUGCUUGCUUUUUCUUCUGCAGCUUGGUGUGGGUUUGCAGUUUGAGUCUGAUCUUAGGGUUUGGGAACCUACUCUUUUGCUUGAGGUUUCCGUUUAUCUGUUUGUUUGUUCCUGUGCUUAGAGUUUUUGUGUGGUUGAUCUGCCUGGUACAUGGAAUGUUAGGUUUUCCUUACAAAGUCGAUCUUCAUGCAUCGGCUAAAGAAACGAUUGGAAUACUACUGAAAAUUUCCUGAUAUCCUUCUUUUCUCCAAGUAUGUAGCGGGGUUUCGAUCAGUUCUGAUGUGCCGGGAAGAGGAAGAGGUAUCUGGAAGAUUUUUCCUUUUCUUUACACUAGUCUAUCAUCUGUAAAAUUUGACCGUUCCUUAAUAUUGGCUUAAACUCUUAAACCUUAUAUGCAAAAAUUCUUGGUUUAAAGUUUCAAGCUUCAAAGGAUUUUGAUUAUUAUUUAAAGCUUAGUAUCCAGAUUGUUCUCAGUCGAUCAACUGUCAAAUUAUUCAAGGCUGUUCUACAUGUAUAGAUUGGUUUUAAUAGUAUGUAUGCUCCAACAUUAUUAUUUUUCUUGAAGCACUUUCUACUGAUAUGGCUUUCACAAGUCCAUGAAUUUGAUUUUUCACUUGUCAGAUUUCUAUUCAGAUUUGGAGUUUCCAUGAUCACCAACUUUGCAACCCAUAUGUUUUCCCAGUUAUUUGGUCUAUACAAUAUGAUUUAACUCCUUUGAUCUACAAGCUUAGGUUCUAUAUAUGGAAGGUUACAUAUUGUUGAUGUUGGGGUACUAGAUAAAUUUCGUAUCAGCCUGUCAUCCCUGGUGUACCUUUAAUCCAUGGAGCGAGAUCCCUAUCUUGCAUGUGAUAUUGUGUUCGUUAGUAUCAUGCGGCAGAUUUUGGUUACUAGCUACGAGAACAUAUAUUAGUAAUUGUUGUUGAUUUGUGAUUCUAGUGCUGUAGGUCUUAGCUAUGUCAUAUUUGAUCUUAAUCAACAAAGUAAAAUUGGCUCAGUCUGAUACUUUUUCUUGGUGAAUGUUGAUGCUCUUCGAAGUCUGUUUUUGUGCCUGAAUAGGUGAAUUUGUAUGAUGAAGUUUUGGAACAUUGAUACGUUUAUAUCAUUUGCCCUUAUUUUCUUUUUCUUUUUGUCUUACAUUUUGUAGGCAUUGACAUGAAAUGUGCGGAACUUGUAUGUCAAUUUUCUUCAUAAUUGUAUUGUGAUUAGUGGAAAACAUGUUAAUCCGGCUUUUAGCAGUUACUGUAUGUGUAUAUAUGACUAUGAGCUGAGCUAUUGGUGGUUUGGAUGACAGAGAGAGAGAGUACACUUGUCCGCAUCCAUGAAAACCCCUCUCUUUGUCAUCGUACUGCUCUUGUCCAGGUCUAUCCUCGAUGCUAUGUUUCAUGUAUUUGCAUCUUUGGGAUGUAAACUAGCUGAUAAGCUUAUAACAUUGUGUAAUUUGUCAUUUAUCUUUGUCAAUCAUAUUAUUUAUUCCAGAAUGGUUUCCGGCCAUUAGCCUUUUUGUUGGUUGAUGUCUUGUAAUGAUAUGGAGAUUACAUGUUGAUGAAGUAGAGUGGUCAUUGUUCAUGGAUCAAUCUCUUAGUACAUCAACAUGGAUGCAUUAUCUUGUUAAUUACAUUACAGUCGUAUGUUUGGAAAACUAAAAUAUUUUGGCUAGUGUUCAGCAAUUCAAUUUUACAUAAUUAAAUUUUUCGACCUCAAUAAAAUUUUGACUAAAGUAAUUUCAAUAAAAAUUUCUAUGUACUUUUAAUCUUCUGUUUUUUCGUUUCUUUUCUUUUGUAAGAACUAUGUCAAUAGGCCUGGAACAUGAGGUGUGGCAGUGAUAUAAGAUGAUUAGAUUAGGUAGAGAUCAACAUUCAGGUAUGAGUAGUAGGGAUGCAAAACAUUCAACAGUCGGCUUUGUUUCACUUGAAGUAUGGAAUUGAUAUUUCACUGCUGACCACAAAACCAAACGUUAGAGUUCAUUUGAGCUAAACAACUGGUAUGCGAUAUUAUACGUGAGAAUUUAUGUGCUUGCCAAGUUUUUCAAAACUAUUGUGUUGGAUAUAGUUAAAUUAUUAUAUAUAUACAAGUAAUAAACAGACAGAAGACUGUAUGGAAACAGCAACAGCAUGAUUGCUAAUAUGAUUACAAACAAUGAUAGUCAUGAGCUUGAGGAACAUCAAAGGGAAGUGCUGAAUUGGAGGUUGCAUGUUGAUGUUGUGACUCGAGACUUUCUUGCCUGUGAUAUAUACUGUGUAAAUUUCUUGUGGUGGUUUUGGUGACUUUUUUUCCUGCAGCUGGUGGGUUUUGAGGACCAGUUGGUAGUACAUUAUAUGUAGUUGUACAUUUAUGAUCAUGGUUGAUGUGUGAUGUACUGUUGGUUUUUUUUUUUUGUGGUCAUUUUACUAUUGGUCUUAACUAUGUUUAUCUGAUUAUAUCAACCAAGUAUGGUAUUUCCAUCUUUUUCUUCUUUUGCUUUUGCUUUCUGUUUUUGGCUGUUUGUUUCUUUUCUUUUGAUUUCUCUAGUCUUCUUUUGCUUGCUUUGCAGAGUGUCUGUAUUGGGCUGUGUCCCUUGAACUGUUGUUUGGCCAUGUGCCUUGUGACUAAAAAAAAGUACAGUGGUCCAGUUUGGGGGUUUCUCUAGGUAUGCACUGCUGUAGUCAUUUUCUUUUGCCUAAAUCUAGGUCAAUUAAGUGGUGAUGAUUGCAGUUUUCGUAUUUUAUAUCAUUUGCUUUCUCCCAAAUUUGUUUAGCUUUGACAUGACAAGUGUGGAAUUUGCCAGCAAACAUUUUAUCUCGAUUGUUGAAAACAUUCUAAUCUGGCUCUUUGCCAUUACUGAGGCAAGCUAUGAUUGGAUUUGUUUGACGAUGAGAGAGAGCACGCUUGUCAGCAUCCAUGAAACAGUCAUGAGUGUUUACGAGCGUGCUCCCUCUCAUCGUCAUACAAUCGAUCUAAUCUUGUGCACCGGCCUUUCGCAUACUAACUAGUUGGUGAUCAUAAAUUGUGCUAGUUAGUAUUUAUAUGUGUCAAUCUCAAUGUUCCUUUCAUAAAGGCUCAUCAUUUGCCUUUUCAUGGUCGAUAUCCUUUUUCUGAUAUAAAGUUUAAAUGUUGAAGAAUUAGAGAACAGUCAUUGGUUAGAGUUGAUCUCUGAGUAGAUCAAUCCACAUGGAUGAGUUCUUUAGGAAAAGCAAAAUAUUUUGCCUCAAUAUAAACAUUCAGUCAUUACUUUUUACAUAACUAAUUGUCUGAACUCAUCAAACCUUUGCCUAAUCUAUUAUCACUUGAAAAAUCAAAAGUUUCUUAACAUUUCUAUGUAAUCAUUUUUAAGGAAUAAGAACAAAUGACUGGCAAAGGUGAGGUGUGGCGGAGAUUAAGUUGAUGAACAGUCUGGUAUGUGUGACUAUAAGCUUGCAAGACAUUAAAAAAUUGGAGACUUGGUUGAUUGUGCAAUUCAUAUUUCCCUAUUGACUACAAAAACAAACAUCAGGGUACUAGGUUGUUCAAACUUCAAACAGGUAUGGUGGGCAAUGCAAGAAUACUCCUCUCCCAGGAGCCCAUGAGUACUUCUAUGAGGACGGAAGAAGUGCUAGCUGGCCCUAAUUGGCUACUAAGCUUAUAGUAUACACCAUAAAUGUUAAGUUCCAUAACAAUUGGUGAAUAUUAUAGACCUUUGUUUAUUUAACAUAAUAGACCUUUGUACUUAUCAUAUCUUUACUAAGUGUCUGUGGUUCAUUAGUGUAUAACUAUUAUUCUUAGAACUGCAACCAGUGGCCAUAGGUUUGGUAAGAAAAUAAUAAAGUUAAAUUUCCUGCUUUGCUCAAAUGCGUUGCUAAUUGCUAAUUCAACAACAAAAUGAAUGACUAAAGGCCUUAAGACUUUCUUUAUUGAAAAAUGAAGAUAUGCUUAUAACUAUCCAGUUGCAUGUUGUUUAUUUUUGGGAUGCUUUAGAUCUUUGAUUAAAAUUAGACUCCAAGCUAAGAUAAAGAGAAAAUAUGCUUAUAACUAUCGAAUUGCAAAGGAAGUUAUCAACCUCCUGGGAAGAUCAUAUGUGCAUUUAUACAUAUUGCUCUGCAAGGAUGGGAAAGUUAUGAUACUACAUUGUCAAGUAGUUAAUACUUUGAUUCAUUUACAUAUAGCGGUCACAGAUGUUUUAUGUAAUGCAAUGACUACUGAUCCUUGUACUUGCUAAAACUUGUUUUUCAAUAUUAUUGUUCUUUACAUUUGAGGAGAAGUUAAGUUAUGGACCGACAGAAAUAGGUGAUAACAAAAAUUUAAACUCUUGCCUGAAUUCUCUAAAUAGCUGAAAUUCAUAGUGAUAUUCCCAUAUAGAGGUAUAUGCAUCUAAUUAUUCCUAUUAAAAAGCCCUCUUUCCUAUUAUCGAACUUAUUCUUUUUAUCUCCAACUGUAUAUUUCAAGCAAGAUUGUAAAAGGCUACCUUAAGGCACGCUUUCUGCCUAGGCAUAGGCUAAAUGCAGUGAUGGCUCUGGUAAAAAGCAAGCAGGCACAAAAAUUGCACAGGAGGAGGGAAAAGCUUAAGCCUCAGGAGCUUAGUUGAUAAGUCCUCAGGUUUUGGAUUUCUUCAGUGUUCAUGGGAUCUAAAUGGAAAUGUUCCCUAUAAAACAUUUGUUGGAAGCUGCUGUUCAAGCAAUGCAUGGUUGUGAAUUCUAAUCCCAACUGAAACCCAGGCUUAAAGGUCUUUUGUGCAUGCUGGAUGAUUGUCUAAACGGCGGGAGUUUAACAACAGUAGGAACGUGACAGACAAAGACAAACAUGCCCGGUACAAAUAUAUCACGGACGUUCCAAGUUAAAGGAUAUCAGGCGUGCUAGAGACUUUUUCAGCCUUUCAAGUAUAUUUGCAUCUUGUCUGGUUUCGUAUGCAGCCGUGGGACAGGUUUCCUUUCUAAUCUUGGAUGACAAUCUUGUGAUGGAACACUGUGACCGUUGGAUGCACUAAACGUCCUUGGGACCAUACCUAGUGCAUCCAGUUGUAGGUUAUUGUACGGAUGGGAACGCACUUUAUGGCAUGUAAACAUCUCUAUAUUCGGGAAUCUUGAGUUAUGUUUUCCAAUACCAAGUGUCCCAAAAUCUGUAACCUGAACUAAAAAGGGAGAAUUCCAUAUCUCCAACCCUUCAAUGCAGAAUAUGAAAAUCCUGAAAUUCAAAAA